This 512-nucleotide ribosomal RNA is filed under the name Cobetia marina. RNAcentral's name for it is "bacterial SSU rRNA". It matches the Rfam family "Bacterial small subunit ribosomal RNA", at positions 372 to 876 of the family's 1533-position model. Lineage: Bacteria; Pseudomonadati; Pseudomonadota; Gammaproteobacteria; Oceanospirillales; Halomonadaceae. The record is from RNAcentral.
UGGGCGAAAGCCUGAUCCAGCCAUGCCGCGUGUGUGAAGAAGGCCUUCGGGUUGUAAAGCACUUUCAGCGAGGAAGAACGCCUUGGGAUUAAUACUCYCGAGGAAAGACAUCACUCGCAGAAGAAGCACCGGCUAACUCCGUGCCAGCAGCCGCGGUAAUACGGAGGGUGCAAGCGUUAAUCGGAAUUACUGGGCGUAAAGCGCGCGUAGGUGGCUAAGUCAGCCAGGUGUGAAAGCCCCGGGCUCAACCUGGGAACGGCAUCUGGAACUGCUUGGCUAGAGUGCAGGAGAGGAAGGUAGAAUUCCCGGUGUAGCGGUGAAAUGCGUAGAGAUCGGGAGGAAUACCAGUGGCGAAGGCGGCCUUCUGGACUGACACUGACACUGAGGUGCGAAAGCGUGGGUAGCAAACAGGAUUAGAUACCCUGGUAGUCCACGCCGUAAACGAUGUCAACUAGCCGUUGGGUCCCUUGAGGACUUAGUGGCGCAGCUAACGCAAUAAGUUGACCGCCUGG